AGUGAACGCUGGCGGUAGGCCUAACACAUGCAAGUCGAACGGCAGCACAGUAAGAGCUUGCUCUUACGGGUGGCGAGUGGCGGACGGGUGAGGAAUACAUCGGAAUCUACUUUUUCGUGGGGGAUAACGUAGGGAAACUUACGCUAAUACCGCAUACGACCUACGGGUGAAAGCAGGGGAUCUUCGGACCUUGCGCGAUUGAAUGAGCCGAUGUCGGAUUAGCUAGUUGGCGGGGUAAAGGCCCACCAAGGCGACGAUCCGUAGCUGGUCUGAGAGGAUGAUCAGCCACACUAGAACUGAGACACGGUCCAGACGCCUACGGGAGGCAGCAGUGAGGAAUAGUGGACAAUGGGCGCAAGCCUGCUCCAGCCAUACCGCGUGGGUGAAGAAGGCCUUCGGGUUGUAAAGCCCUUUUGUUGGGAAAGAAAAGCAGCAGGUUAAUACCCCGCUGUUCUGGCGGUACCCAAAGAAUAAGCACCGGCUAACUUCGUG
RNAcentral lists this ribosomal RNA (492 nucleotides) under uncultured bacterium. RNAcentral describes it as "partial 16S ribosomal RNA". It matches the Rfam family "Bacterial small subunit ribosomal RNA", at positions 29 to 507 of the family's 1533-position model. The record is from RNAcentral.